Hordeum vulgare subsp. vulgare (domesticated barley) is the source of this 121-nucleotide non-coding RNA. The record is from Rfam. Lineage: Eukaryota; Viridiplantae; Streptophyta; Magnoliopsida; Poales; Poaceae.
AUAAUACUCCCUCCGUCCGGAAAUACUGGUCCUAAAUGAAUAUAAUGGAUAUAUCUAUAACUAAAAUAACUCUAGAACAUUCAUCUUUAGGACAAGUAUUUCCGGACGGAGGGAAUACCAU